AACGAACGCUGGCGGCAUGCCUAAUACAUGCAAGUCGAACGAUGCUUUCGGGCCUUGUGGCGUCUGGGUUCGUAGCGGGUUGGAAUCUGCACUUGGGUUCUGAAUAACUGUGAGAAAUUGCUGCUAAUACCGGAUCAUGUCUUCGCACCAAAGAUUUCUCGCCCAUGGAUGAGCGAGCGUGGGAUUAGCUCGUUUUUUGGGUAAUGGCCUACUAAGGCGUCGAUCCUUAGCUGGUCAGAGAGACAGCUCAGCCACACUGGGACUGAGACACGGCCCAGAAUCUUACGGGAUGGUGCAGUGGCGAAUAUUGGACAACCGCGGCAGUCCUGAACAAGCAAGGCCGCGUAAGCUAUGAUGUCCGUAAGGAAGUAAAGCUCAAGUAACCGGGAAAAUAAUGACAGUACCGGAUGAAUAAGCACCGGCUAACUCCGUG
This 433-nucleotide ribosomal RNA is filed under the name uncultured bacterium. Its description in RNAcentral is "partial 16S ribosomal RNA". It matches the Rfam family "Bacterial small subunit ribosomal RNA", at positions 29 to 507 of the family's 1533-position model. The record is from RNAcentral.